UAGGGAAUCUUCGGCAAUGGACGGAAGUCUGACCGAGCAACGCCGCGAGAGUGAAGAAGGUUUUCGGAUCGUAAAGCUCUGUUGUUAGAGAAGAACGUUGGUAGGAGUGGAAAAUCUACCAAGUGACGGUAACUAACCAGAAAGGGACGGCUAACUACGUGCCAGCAGCCGCGGUAAUACGUAGGUCCCGAGCGUUGUCCGGAUUUAUUGGGCGUAAAGCGAGCGCAGGCGGUUCUUUAAGUCUGAAGUUAAAGGCAGUGGCUUAACCAUUGUACGCUUGGGAAACUGGAGGACUUGAGUGCAGAAGGGGAGAGUGGAAUUCCAUGUGUAUCGGUGAAAUGCGUAGAAAUAUGGAGGAACACCGGUGUCGAAAGCGGCUCUCUGGUCUGUAACUGACGCUGAGGCUCGAAAGCGUGGGGAGCAAACAGG
This 429-nucleotide ribosomal RNA is filed under the name Bacillota bacterium. RNAcentral describes it as "Firmicutes bacterium partial 16S ribosomal RNA". It matches the Rfam family "Bacterial small subunit ribosomal RNA", at positions 355 to 776 of the family's 1533-position model. The record is from RNAcentral. Lineage: Bacteria; Bacillati; Bacillota.